This 429-nucleotide ribosomal RNA is filed under the name Actinomycetes bacterium. RNAcentral describes it as "Actinobacteria bacterium partial 16S ribosomal RNA". It matches the Rfam family "Bacterial small subunit ribosomal RNA", at positions 355 to 776 of the family's 1533-position model. The record is from RNAcentral. Lineage: Bacteria; Bacillati; Actinomycetota; Actinomycetes.
UAGGGAAUCUUCCGCAAUGGGCGAAAGCCUGACGGAGCAACGUCGCGAGAGUGAUGAAGGUCUUCGGAUCGUAAAACUCUGUUAUUAGGGAAGAACAAAUGUGUAAGUAACUAUGCACGUCUUGACGGUACCUAAUCAGAAAGCCACGGCUAACUACGUGCCAGCAGCCGCGGUAAUACGUAGGUGGCAAGCGUUAUCCGGAAUUAUUGGGCGUAAAGCGCGCGUAGGCGGUUUUUUAAGUCUGAUGUGAAAGCCCACGGCUCAACCGUGGGGGGUCAUUGGAAACUGGAAAACUUGAGUGCAGAAGAGGAAAGUGGAAUUCCAUGUGUAGCGCUGAAAUGCGCAGAGAUAUGGAGGAACACCAGUGGCGACGGCGACUUUCUGGUCUGUAACUGACGCUAAUGUGCAAAAGCGUGGGGAUCAAACAGG